AGCAGCCGCGGUAAUUCCAGCUCCAAUAGCGUAUAUUAAAGUUGUUGCAGUUAAAAAGCUCGUAGUUGAAUUUCGGGAUCAAGGAAUCGGUCAUGCCUCGGUAUGUACUGGUUUUAUUGGUUCUCACCUUCUAAAGAACCAUAAUGUCAUUCAUUUGAUGUUAUGGGGAAUUAGGACUGUUACCUUGAAAAAAUUAGAGUGUUUAAAGCAGGCUCACGCUUGAAUACAUUAGCAUGGAAUAACGAAAUAGGACGUUUGAUUCUAUUUUGUUGGUUUCUAGGAUCGACGUAAUGAUUAAUAGGGAUAGUUGGGGGCAUUAGUAUUCAAUUGUCAGAGGUGAAAUUCUUGGAUUUAUUGAAGACUAACUACUGCGAAAGCAUUUGCCAAGGAUGUUUUCAUUAAUCAAGAACGAAAGUUAGGGGAUCGAAGACGAUCAGAUACCGUCGUAGUCUUAACCAUAAAUUAUGCCGACUAGGGAUCGGAUGAUGUUAAAUUAACGACUCA
This 504-nucleotide ribosomal RNA is filed under the name uncultured Glomeraceae. RNAcentral's name for it is "SSU rRNA". It matches the Rfam family "Eukaryotic small subunit ribosomal RNA", at positions 569 to 1078 of the family's 1831-position model. Lineage: Eukaryota; Fungi; Glomeromycota; Glomeromycetes; Glomerales; Glomeraceae. The record is from RNAcentral.